This 536-nucleotide ribosomal RNA is filed under the name Novosphingobium sp. TW_R2A_DR4. RNAcentral's name for it is "bacterial SSU rRNA". It matches the Rfam family "Bacterial small subunit ribosomal RNA", at positions 129 to 699 of the family's 1533-position model. The record is from RNAcentral. Lineage: Bacteria; Pseudomonadati; Pseudomonadota; Alphaproteobacteria; Sphingomonadales; Sphingomonadaceae.
CCCUUUGCUUCGGAAUAACAGUUAGAAAUGACUGCUAAUACCGGAUGAUGUCUUCGGACCAAAGAUUUAUCGGCAAAGGAUGAGCCCGCGUAGGAUUAGGUAGUUGGUGGGGUAAAGGCCUACCAAGCCGACGAUCCUUAGCUGGUCUGAGAGGAUGAUCAGCCACACUGGGACUGAGACACGGCCCAGACUCCUACGGGAGGCAGCAGUGGGGAAUAUUGGACAAUGGGCGCAAGCCUGAUCCAGCAAUGCCGCGUGAGUGAUGAAGGCCUUCGGGUCGUAAAGCUCUUUUACCAGGGAUGAUAAUGACAGUACCUGGAGAAUAAGCUCCGGCUAACUCCGUGCCAGCAGCCGCGGUAAUACGGAGGGAGCUAGCGUUGUUCGGAAUUACUGGGCGUAAAGAGUACGUAGGCGGCUAUUCAAGUCAGAGGUGAAAGCCCGGGGCUCAACCCCGGAACUGCCUUUGAAACUAGGUAGCUAGAAUCUUGGAGAGGUCAGUGGAAUUCCGAGUGUAGAGGUGAAAUUCGUAGAUAUUC